AAUCAACGCUGGCGGCGUGCCUCAGACAUGCAAGUCGAACGAUUAAAGCUCUCUUCGGAGAGUGUAUAGAGUGGCGCACGGGUGAGUAACACGUAAGUAAUCUACCCUCGAGUGGGGAAUAACGUCCGGAAACGGACGCUAAUACCGCAUAAUGCAGCGGCACCGCAAGGUGACAGUUGUUAAAGAUUUUAUCGCUUGAGGAGGAGCUUGCGGCAGAUUAGCAGUUGGUAAGGUAAUGGCUUACCAAGGCUACGAUCUGUAACCGGUCUAAGAGGACGGUCGGUCACACUGACACUGAAUAACGGGUCAGACUCCUACGGGAGGCAGCAGUCGGGAAUUUUGGGCAAUGGGCGAAAGCCUGACCCAGCAACGCCGCGUGAAGGAUGAAAUCCCUCGGGAUGUAAACUUCGCAAGAACGGGAAGAAUAAGCGAGAGUAAAUAUCUUUCGCGAUGACGGUACCGUUUGUAAGCUCCGGCUAACUCCGUGCCAGCAGCCGCUAUAAC
Molecule: ribosomal RNA, 504 nt
Filed under: uncultured bacterium
Lineage: Bacteria
Description: bacterial SSU rRNA
Rfam family: Bacterial small subunit ribosomal RNA
Source: RNAcentral